RNAcentral lists this ribosomal RNA (397 nucleotides) under uncultured bacterium. RNAcentral describes it as "partial 16S ribosomal RNA". It matches the Rfam family "Bacterial small subunit ribosomal RNA", at positions 523 to 918 of the family's 1533-position model. The record is from RNAcentral.
AUACGUAGGUGGCAAGCGUUGUCCGGAUUUAUUGGGCGUAAAGCGAGCGCAGGCGGUUUCUUAAGUCUGAUGUGAAAGCCCCCGGCUCCACCGGGGAGGGUCAUUGGAAACUGGGAGACUUGAGUGCAGAAGAGGAGAGUGGAAUUCCAUGUGUAGCGGUGAAAUGCGUAGAUAUAUGGAGGAACACCAGUGGCGAAGGCGACUCUCUGGUCUGUAACUGACGCUGAGGCUCGAAAGCGUGGGGAGCAAACAGGAUUAGAUACCCUGGUAGUCCACGCCGUAAACGAUGAGUGCUAAGUGUUGGAGGGUUUCCGCCCUUCAGUGCUGCAGCUAACGCAUUAAGCACUCCGCCUGGGGAGUACGACCGCAAGGUUGAAACUCAAAGGAAUUGACGGGG